AACGGAAAAUGAUGUAUUCCGUAUUUUCAAUCAACCCACCUGAAAACUUCAUGACUUUAGUGGCUUUUCGCCGUGGAUCCCCCGUCUGGAAAGGUUUCGUAUUGCGGCAGGACUUGACACCCAGGAAGAAAGGAGGAUCUAGAGGUCUCCAGUUAUUGGCCCUGAGUUGAUGAAGCUCAUCAAACUUCAAGCUGAUGUUCUCAAUGGACAACUGAAGCAUAUCCCAGAAACCAGCCAGCUGUCAUUGCAGCCAUGAAUCAUCUCUUCCCUCCUUCUCCACCUGGACGGGAAUCUUCAACUCUCGCCGUUUCUCAGAGAGACUCAUGUGAAGUCCACCUCACCACCAAACCAGAGGAGACCAACCAGACUGUCCUCUCUUCUAAGUCUUUGGAUCACUAUCUGGCCCCACGGACUCCAACACAAGACUCUGGAGGCUGAAAGCAGCUGUAGGAUAUUUAAGUUGCUCUGAAGUUGAUUCGAACAGCCAUGAACCACUGUUCAUCCUCCAGCUUUGCUUUGACUCAAGAAAUGCUUCACUUCAGGCAACACUUCAGGAAAUCUUGCAAGAAUUUUGGCUCUGCUCAGCCGUCUGACAUGCGUGUGCAGCAGCAGCUCUGCUUCCCCGUCCUCCACGGAGCGGCCUCUGCUGAAGGCUUCUCGCAUAGACGGAACUCAAAAAGCUGGCAUCCGUCACAUUGUUCACAUGUAAAAACCUGCUGGUGGAUGAUGCAACAAUAAUAAAUAAAGUCUGGGGAAACAUUAUUCGUUUUUUUUUUGUUUUUUUUUUCAUUUUACACUCGGCAAUAAAGCUAUUUCCAUGACCCGUCAUCACAACUGUGGUUUUAGACACAUAUUUGGACCAAAGUAAUUUAAUUAGUUCACAAAAUUACACGAAAAUGCUUGAAAACGAUCUACUGGUACUUCACUUUAUGAUGUUUUAGAAGCAAAUUGAGAGCAUUUCCUCCUUCAUAUCCAAACAUUCAAAACGUUUGGAUCUAAAUACAUGUACAGCUGCUACAUCAACCUAUGGGGAUGUAUUGUGAUAGUAUUUCCAGAAUACUGGAUGAAUAUAUUAUUUCAGAUUUAUUUGUAAAAUCUUUAAACAGGAAGUCUACUGCCUCCAAAAAAUCUGCUUGUUGCAGUUGACUUUUGGCUGGGAUGUGUUUUUUGGUGAUUGAUGUCUGGUUUUACAGAGGUUUCCCUACAAGCUUCUCUUUUCUUUUGUAAGCCCCAGGCUGCAUGUGCACAACAAGCACACAACAUUUUUAUCAAAACAUGAAGACGAAAUAAUUCUU
Molecule: long non-coding RNA, 1295 nt
Organism: Oryzias melastigma (Indian medaka)
Lineage: Eukaryota; Metazoa; Chordata; Actinopteri; Beloniformes; Adrianichthyidae
Exons: 5
Source: RefSeq, a predicted model, not a curated record